GGGGCGUGCCUAAUACAUGCAAGUCGAGCGAAGUUUUUCUGGUGCUUGCACUAGAAAAACUUAGCGGCGAACGGGUGAGUAACACGUAAAGAACCUGCCUCAUAGACUGGGACAACUAUUGGAAACGAUAGCUAAUACCGGAUAACAGCAUUAACUGCAUGGUUGAUGUUUAAAAGUUGGUUUUGCUAACACUAUGAGAUGGCUUUGCGGUGCAUUAGCUAGUUGGUGGGGUAAAGGCCUACCAAGGCGACGAUGCAUAGCCGACCUGAGAGGGUGAUCGGCCACACUGGGACUGAGACACGGCCCAGACUCCUACGGGAGGCAGCAGUAGGGAAUCUUCCGCAAUGGGCGAAAGCCUGACGGAGCAACGCCGCGUGAGUGAAGAAGGAUUUCGGUUCGUAAAGCUCUGUUGUUAGGGAAGAAUGAUUGUGUAGUAACUAUACACAGUAGAGACGGUACCUAACCAGAAAGCCACGGCUAACUACGUGCCAGCAGCCGCGGUAAUACGUAGGUGGCAAGCGUUGUCCGGAAUUAUUGGGCGUAAAGCGCUCGCAGGUGGUUUAAUAAGUCUGAUGUGAAAGCCCACGGCUCAACCGUGGAGGGUCAUUGGAAACUGUUAAACUUGAGUGCAGGAGAGAAAAGUGGAAUUCCUAGUGUAGCGGUGAAAUGCGUAGAGAUUAGGAGGAACACCAGUGGCGAAGGCGGCUUUUUGGCCUGUAACUGACACUGAGGCGCGAAAGCGUGGGGAGCAAACAGGAUUAGAUAUCCUGGUAGUCCACGCCGUAAACGAUGAGUGCUAAGUGUUGGUCUCAUAAGAGAUCAGUGCUGCA
Molecule: ribosomal RNA, 830 nt
Filed under: uncultured Gemella sp.
Lineage: Bacteria; Bacillati; Bacillota; Bacilli; Caryophanales; Gemellaceae
Description: bacterial SSU rRNA
Rfam family: Bacterial small subunit ribosomal RNA
Source: RNAcentral